AUGCUUGAUGAACUAAGUGGCUCAGUUGUGUUUUCUAAAGUGGACUUGCGUAGUGGCUACCAUCAAAUUCGUAUGAAACUAGGUGAUGAAUGGAAAACUGCUUUCAAAACUAAAUUUGGUUUAUAUGAGUGGUUAGUUAUGCCUUUUGGAUUGACUAAUGCACCUAGUACUUUCAUGAGACUAAUGAAUGAAGUUUUGCGACCUUUCAUUGGACGAUUUGUGGUAGUAUACUUUGAUGAUAUUCUGAUUUAUAGUAAGUCACUAGAGGAACACUUAGACCAUUUGCGUGUUGUUUUUUCUGCUCUGUGUGAUGCACGUUUAUUUGGUAAUAUCGAGAAGUGCACUUUUUGCAUGGAUCGAGUCGCUUUUCUUGGCUAUGUUGUGACAGCGCAGGGAAUUGAAGUUGAUAAAGCCAAGGGUGAAGCGAUCCAGAGUUGGCCGACCCCUAACUCGGUCACACAGGUACGUAGUUUUCUCGGACUUGCUGGAUUCUACCGGUGGUUCGUGAAGGAUUUCUGCACCAUCGCAGCACCGCUCAAUGAACUCACAAAGAAAAAUGUGCCAUUUGUUUGGAGCGACACACAAGAGGAAGCCUUCACUAUUCUUAAAGAUAAGCUUACACAUGCCCCUUUGCUGCAAUUACCUGAUUCCAAUAAGAUGUUUGAAUUAGAAUGUGAUGCUAGCGGCAUUGGUUUAGGUGGUGUUCUAUUGCAAGAAGGCAAACCAGUAGCAUACUUUAGUGAAAAACUCAGUGGGCCUAGUCUAAAUUAUUCAACAUAUGAUAAAGAACUUUAUGCACUAGUUUGGACUUUGGAGACAUGGCAACAUUAUUUAUGGCCUAAGGAGUUUGUUAUACAUUCUGAUCAUGAAUCACUCAAGCAUAUUAGAAGUCAAAGCAAACUGAACCAUAGACAUGCAAAAUGGGUUGAAUUUAUUGAAUCUUUUCCUUAUGUUAUUAAGCAUAAGAAAGGGAAGGAGAAUGUUAUUGCCGAUGCAUUGUCUAGACGCUAUACCAUGUUAUCACAACUUGACUUCAAAAAUUUUGGACUUGAAACUAUAAAAGAGCAAUCCGCUAAUGAUGUCGAUUUUAAAGAUAUAUUGCUCAAUUGCACAGAGGGUAGAACUUGGAACAAGUUCGUCGUUAAUGACGGAUUUGUUUUUCGUGCUAAUAAGCUAUGCAUCCCAGAUAGCUUUGUUCGUCUUCUAUUGUUAUAG
Molecule: ribosomal RNA, 1215 nt
Filed under: Triticum aestivum (bread wheat)
Lineage: Eukaryota; Viridiplantae; Streptophyta; Magnoliopsida; Poales; Poaceae
Description: partial small subunit ribosomal RNA
Source: RNAcentral